GACGAACGCUGGCGGCGUGCUUAACACAUGCAAGUCGAGCGGUAAGGCCCUUUCGGGGGUACACGAGCGGCGAACGGGUGAGUAACACGUGGGUGACCUGCCCUCAGCUCUGGGAUAAGCCUGGGAAACUGGGUCUAAUACUGGAUAUGACUCCACGGUGCAUGUCGUGGGGUGGAAAGCCUUGUGCGGCUGAGGAUGGGCCCGCGGCCUAUCAGCUUGUUGGUGGGGUGANGGCCUACCAAGGCGACGACGGUAGCCGGCCUGAGAGGGCGACCGGCCACACUGGGACUGAGA
This 294-nucleotide ribosomal RNA is filed under the name uncultured bacterium. RNAcentral's name for it is "partial 16S ribosomal RNA". It matches the Rfam family "Bacterial small subunit ribosomal RNA", at positions 28 to 324 of the family's 1533-position model. The record is from RNAcentral.